This 50-nucleotide non-coding RNA is filed under the name Paracoccus sp. (in: a-proteobacteria). RNAcentral describes it as "Paracoccus sp. Guanidine-II sequence". It matches the Rfam family "Guanidine-II riboswitch aptamer (mini-ykkC)". From Rfam's summary of the family: Simpler in structure and has fewer highly conserved nucleotide positions than the ykkC-yxkD leader. Despite this each of its two stem-loop structures directly bind free guanidine. Therefore, mini-ykkC RNA motif represents a distinct class of guanidine-sensing RNAs. Lineage: Bacteria; Pseudomonadati; Pseudomonadota; Alphaproteobacteria; Rhodobacterales; Paracoccaceae. The record is from RNAcentral. RNAcentral also lists the same sequence under 1 other name.
GGCAGAGGACGACCUCCCCCUGACGGGCUGACACUUCCGGGACGGCCCGG